RNAcentral lists this ribosomal RNA (541 nucleotides) under uncultured bacterium. RNAcentral's name for it is "bacterial SSU rRNA". It matches the Rfam family "Bacterial small subunit ribosomal RNA", at positions 30 to 507 of the family's 1533-position model. The record is from RNAcentral.
CGAACGCUGGCGGCGUGGAUUAGGCAUGCAAGUCGAACGGUAUGGACCUUUCGGGGUUCAGAGAGUGGCGAACGGGUGAGUAACACGUAGGUAAUCUACCCUCAAGACGGGGACAACCCAGGGAAACUUGGGCUAAUACCGGAUGUGUGUAGUGGCUAUUUUUCUGAUUAUCAUUAUUUACGUAAGUGAGUAAUAAUAAGAAGGGAAAGUGGUUAUUACAUAAAAGGUGGCGUAAGCUGCCGCUUGGGGAUGAGCCUGCGUCCUAUUAGUUAGUUGGUGAGGUAACGGCUUACCAAGGCGAUGAUAGGUAGGCGGCCUUAACGGGUGGUCGCCCACACUGGGAUUGAGAUACGGCCCAGACUCCUACGGGAGGCAGCAGUCGAGAAUAGUCUACAAUGGACGGAAGUCUGAUAGUGCGACGCCGCGUGAACGAAGAAUCCCUUCGGGGUGUAAAGUUCUUUUAUACGUGAGCAGUGUCCUUUAUAUUAAUAGUAUAAGGGGAGAGAUAUUAGCGUAUGAAUAAGCAACGGCUAACUCCGUG